GGGGAAGUGCGGCGUGCCUAUACUGCAAGUCGAACGAGUUCUCGUUGAUGAUCGGUGCUUGCACCGAGAUUCAACAUCGUUUUAGUGGCGGACGGGUGAGUAACACGGGGCGUAACCUGCCCCUUAGUGGGGGAUAACAUUUGGAAACAGAUGCUAAUACCGCAUAGAUCCAAGAACCGCAUGGUUCUUGGCUGAAAGAUGGCGUAAGCUAUCGCUUUUGGAUGGACCCGCGGCGUAUUAGCUAGUUGGUGAGGUAACGGCUCACCAAGGCGAUGAUACGUAGCCGAACUGAGAGGUUGAUCGGCCACCUUGCGACUGAGACACGGCCCAAACUCCUACGGGAGGCAGCAGUAGGGAAUCUUCCACAAUGGACGCGAGUCUGAUGGAGCAACGCCGCGUGAGUGAAGAAGGCUUUCGGGUCGUAAAACUCUGUUGUUGGAGAAGAAUGGUCGGCAGAGUAACUGUUGUCGGCGUGACGGUAUCCAACCAGAAAGCCACGGCUAACUACGUGCCAGCAGCCGCGGUAAUACGUAGGUGGCAAGCGUUAUCCGGAUUUAUUGGGCGUAAAGCGAGCGCAGGCGGUUUUUUAAGUCUGAUGUGAAAGCCCUCGGCUUAACCGAGGAAGCGCAUCGGAAACUGGGAAACUUGAGUGCAGAAGAGGACAGUGGAACUCCAUGUGUAGCGGAGAAACGCGUAGAUAUAUGGAAGAACACCAGUGGCGAAGGCGGCUGUCUGGUCUGUAACUGACGCUGAGGCUCGAAAGCAUGGGUAGCGAACAGGAUUAGAUACCCUGGUAGU
This 798-nucleotide ribosomal RNA is filed under the name Lacticaseibacillus paracasei. RNAcentral describes it as "bacterial SSU rRNA". It matches the Rfam family "Bacterial small subunit ribosomal RNA", at positions 26 to 794 of the family's 1533-position model. Lineage: Bacteria; Bacillati; Bacillota; Bacilli; Lactobacillales; Lactobacillaceae. The record is from RNAcentral.